RNAcentral lists this ribosomal RNA (257 nucleotides) under uncultured bacterium. Its description in RNAcentral is "partial 16S ribosomal RNA". It matches the Rfam family "Bacterial small subunit ribosomal RNA", at positions 793 to 1055 of the family's 1533-position model. The record is from RNAcentral.
GUCCACACCGUAAACGAUGAUCACUAGAUUUUGGCCGCAAGGUCAGAGUCCAAGCGAAAGUGUUUAGUGAUCCACCUGGGGAGUACGUCCGCAAGGAUGAAACUCAAAGGAAUUGACGGGGGCCCCGCACAAGCGGUGGAGCAUGUGGUUUAAUUCGAUGAUACGCGAGGAACCUUACCUGGGCUUGAAAGUUAGUGACCGUCCCUGAAAGGGGACUUUCCGCAAGGACACGAAACUAGGUGCUGCAUGGCUGUCGU